AGAGAAUUUUUUACAGACAAUGACUGCUUGAAAUCUGGAACUAAUCAACAUCAGGGUUUCCUCCUUUGUGAUGCUUUGCCAGGUCUUUACUGCAGCUGUGUCCAGUUGUUUGUUUGUGGGCAUUUCUGCCUUAAGUUUUGUUUUCAGCUAGUGAAAUGCAUGCUUGAUCAGGGGAUUGACUUGGCCAUUGCAAUAUUCCACUUCUUUGCCUUGAAAACGUACGUGUUGUUUUUGCAGUAUGUUUUGUGUCAUUGUCCAUCUGUAAAGUGAAGUGUGGUUGAAUCAACUUCGCUGAAUUUGGCUGAAUCUGGGCAUACAAUAUAUCCCGGUACAGUUCAGAAUUUAUUCAGCUACUUCUGUCUUCUUUUGUUACCGGGAAACUGACGGAGGCCAAGCACAGAGAGAUGGACACAGGUUUUUUCAGGAAGGAAGAGAUCUUUAUUCGAUUCACCGACCGGGACUCAGAGGGACUUAUGUCACCAAAAACAGCAAAGAUCUGAGUACUGAAUACAUAGAGUAGAUUCCUUAUAUAGCACUGUAGCUCCUCCCAUAAUUAGCUACGCCCACACAUACCCUUAACCUAAUCAAUGAAUUGAGUCUAAACUCAUCCAUCCGGUCUAACCACGUGGCUCAUCUGAAACAAAGGAGAGGGACGCGUAAUUCCAGUUCCUGCAUUCCUGCACAUGCUCAGUACAGUGAUGACAGUAUCUUAGCUACGUGUAACUAACUAACUGAUACCACAAACACAUGUACCUACAUAUGCCUUGUGGCAAUCUUGGCCUGCUAAACUUGUAUUUUACUGGAAUUCCAUCACAUUCCCCCCUUUGAUGCUUCUGAUUUAAAAUAAUUCCAGAUGCAUCACCAAUCAUAGUUUGCUUACACCUCAAGUUGCCAUAAACCAGACUAGACUUUGCGAUCCUCUAAAGAUACGAACCCCUCAACAUUCCUCUUCCUGCAUGUAUUCUCCUUGAUCUAGAGCUUCAUACCUGCAAACAGCCAUUACCUGUGCUGCGGCCUUUCUUUCUGCUAUACUUUCUAUAAUGCUCUGCAUAGACCUAAUUACCAAAGGAAUCAGACAUGGCAGAAGGAGACAACAUCAAAAUCAGUAUGACUCCACCUACCAAUGCCUUGAUUCCUCCAAACUGCUCAUACCAACUACCAAACCAACUACUCGGAUUAUACCCUUUCCAUACCUGAGUAGGUACAUGUGCUAGCUUAACCAUAUGGCUAGUAAGCUCAGCUAUUGCUUGCCCUUCAUCAUCUAUUUGAAGACAACAAUUGCUUAGAUUAAACUUCCCACAUACACCUCCCUCUACUGCCAAUAGGUAAUCCAAAGCUAAUCUAUUCUGGUAGAUGGCUGUCCUCAUCCUAGUGUUAUGCUUCGCUAGGAGAUUGAGCGCUUGUGAUGUUUCAUUGGUAACUAUCUCAACUACUGCUUGCAAUCUUAUAAUACGAUUAAGCAUAUAUAUUGGGGUUCUGUAUCCAUAAGUACCAUCCUCUGCCCAUGUAGCUGGCCCAUAAUAAUCUAUAAUACGCUGGGGAGGCCACUCAUCAUCUUCCCAGGUACCUAUCUCUAGGGGUGCCCUUUUCUUCCUAUGAUUUACAUCAUAUACUUUAACUCCCAAAGUCUCUCCUGUUUCAAUUGGCAACAAGAAGAAGGAUGGUUUGAGCAUACCUAGUACACAUGCCCCUUCCCAGUCUUGUGGUAACUCCGAAUAUGCCUUCUUACCACAAAUCCAGUACAAUUUUGCUGGGGCUUUCCAACUAGAUGUAGCAGAUAGGUCAAACCAUACAUCCUUUAAAUUGGUAUAAUUUGCAAACGGAUUAGACGGUUCUGAAACAUUUGAAGCUGGCCACCAAAUAGCAUCCUUUGUAUCGACAUUAUAGGCUUUCUGCCCUAAACAAGUCAAUUCUCCUACAGAUGUAUUAAACAUUAUUCCUUUCCUUGCUAUACAAACAUAACCUAUAAUGGAGGUCUUUAAUCGCCACUCAGAUUUACCUCUAACACUCACUUGAUAAUCAGAUUGAGAAGAUAUUAGUUGUUCAACUGUCUCAGAACCAGAAUACAUUACCUCCUUUGCUUCCCAAGGCCAUUGGUCUCCCAUAUUAGUACCUCCACACACAUAGCAGUUGGUUACAUUAAGACUACCAGCAAUGCUCUCAGCUAGGUCUAUGAAUAAGUUUUUGGCAUUAUGGGGAACCUUAUCUUCCACACUCAUCUCCUCAUAAAAAAAAUGGAAAACCUGAUGAGUCUGGGGGGCCACUGUAUCUGUCUCUAUUCCUAUGUAUAAUAUCGUCCCAGGAUCCAAACCUGUUCCAUAUAUUUGGAACCCAAAUAGAUUCCCAAACUUAUCUAUAAAUAGCUCUGGGUCCUUGAUAAGUAUAUGGACUGGGUUACACUCCACAGACUUACAAUAUGGCUUGGUAGGCAAUCUAGUGAUAAUCAUAUCCUUAUCUACUGUCUGUCCCCAGGUUGCCCAUCCCACACAGGACCAAUACGGACAAUAAUUGUAGUCUUUAUUUAGGCAGUUUGGAUCUAUAUACUUAUGCUUAUUACUAGGACAAAUAUACUUAUCAUUAGACCCAUACGUUCUUUCCCAUUUAAGACCACCACAUACAUUCCAUGGCUUCCUACUACCUGAUAUCGCCUUACAUGCAUCAAAUAGCAAAACACCUGGAGAAUGUACGCUUUCUAGUACAGUCUUAUUUAUCAGGUUCCCCUGUGCGUUCUCAUUCCGAAUAGUCAACCAAAUUGUACGGGGCUGAUACUCAGGAUUAAAACACCUAGGUUCUCCUGCUCCUAUAUGGCAUACACUAUAAUCUGUACCUAGGUAUCUACACUUUGAUACAUGUCCUGUGCACUCAUAUUGCGAAUGCCAAAUAAGGGUCUGGGAAAUACGAUUGCCUGUUUUUGUAGUCUUAAUGCAAACCUCGCAGCCUGGUGUGUCGGUACCUCUACCUUCCUGAAUAAUUAAAAACACACAUAUAUACAUCAUCAAACACAUUACUCCUGACAUCUUCUUCCUAAUUCUUCGACCGUGCGACGGCACCUCAGCUUCCAGGCGUGUGAGGGCUGCAGGGAAUGGAGUCCUUCUGAUCCUCACUGUUCUUCACAGAGGAUUCCUCUGGCUUAAACGUUGGUAGGUGGUCAGGCUUUAUUGUGGCCGUCAAAACACCUACUUGUAGAUCUUUGUUGAUGUUCCCUUGUAACAAUACUCUUCGCAAAAAACACUUUUAAUCUAACUGGGUCACUCGCUUCAACCGGAUCUUGCAGGGAUUCUCAGGAUCCCCUUGCUGCUGGUUUAACCCUGGAGUGAUGAAUCCAUCUCCAUGGCAAUACUGUUGGAGUAACAAAACAACAGCAUAAGGACCCCUCCACUUUGGCCCCAGGGGUACAUGUUCCACUCCUUUAUCCAAACUGGUCUCCUGGAUGGUAAGAAUGGAUGACAUAUUGACACCUUGACAUAUGGAUUGACACCUGUCCUCAGAGCCCCUCCUGCACACGGACACAGACUCUAUAGAGACUGGUCCCCCUACAUGGUUCUUGGCAGAUAUACCAUUGACAUACCACUCCCAGGAUCCCUGAUACACACUGACAUGACAGAUCAUCAGAGAUAUAUGACUGUGCAAAAGGGUAGCUGGAUUCAGGGUAUUAACAGUUUCACAUAACAUGGCUUGGGUCACUUGGCAGAUAUGGAUUGACACCUGUCCUUACCUUUAUAGUCUACACACUGACACACUGCGUGCGGGACUCGCACAUAGAGUUCCUGACCCAGAGUGAGCUUGUCAGCUUCUGCUACCAACAGGGCGGCGGCAGCUACGGCCCUUAGACAAGGAGGAAGACCACUGGCUACUGCAUCCAGUUGUUUGGACAUAUACGCAACAGGUCGUUGCCAUGAUCCCAGAUACUGUGUCAGUACUCCCACAGCCAUCCUUCUUUGCUCGUGUACAUAUAAGUAGAAUGGACGUAUAUGAUCAGGUAGACCUAAUGCGGGGGCGCUCAUCAAUGCCUUCUUAACAUCCUCAAAUGCCUUCUGCUGUUCGAUGGUCCACAGGAAGGAAUCAUGUUCCGUGCCUUUAAUAGCGGCAUAGAGGGGUUUCGCCAGUGUCGCAUAACUGGGAAUCCAUAUCCUACAGAAGCCUGCUGCCCCCAAGAAUUCUCGCACUUGUCUUCUGUUUUUAGGUGUUGGUAUUUGGCAUACAGCCUCUUUUCUUUCAGGCCCCAUUAUCCUUUGACCUUGAGAGAUAUGGAAUCCCAGAUACUUGACAGUUGGCUGACACAACUGAGCUUUCUUCCUGGACACCCUGUAUCCUGCCUUCCAAAGAAUGUGCAGUAAAUCAUAAGUUGCUUGCUGGCAUAUCUCUUUAGUAACUGCCGCUAUCAACGAAUCAUCCACGUAUUGUAGUAGUACACAUUCUCCUGGGAUGGACUUGAAAUCUAAUAAGUCCUGACUUAAUGCUGAUCCAAAUAGUGUAGGUGAAUUUUUAAACCCUUGGGGCAAUCUUGUCCAGGUCAUCUGACGUUUCGAGCCCGUUACAGCAUCUUCCCAUUGGAAUGCAAAGAUACACUGGCUUUCUGUAGCAAUUCGUAGGCAAAAGAAGGCAUCUUUAAGGUCCAAGACUGUAAAUAAGUAGCCCCACCCGGAAUCAAGGCAAGCAGGUUAUAAGGAUUGGGCACAACUGGAUGUAUACUUACUACCGCAUCAUUGACUGCUCUCAAAUCCUGCACAUGGCGAUACUCAUCUGACCCAGGCUUCUGAACAGGCAACAAUGGAGUAUUCCAGGGGGAAGUACAGAAUUUUAGGAUACCAUACCUUAUGAACUUAUCCAAAUAAGACUGUAUGUUCUUCUUCGCCUUUUGAGGUAUAUGGUAUUGUCGCAGGCUUACUGGAUAAACUCCAAGUUUUAGUUCGAUGCGUAUAGGUGGGAUAUUGCGAGCAAGUCCUGGUGGGUUAUUUUCUGCCCACACUCUUGGUAUAUUAUACAAGGAUUCAUCACUCUUAGGGUUUUGACUUGUCAUCACUGUAUAAAGUCGCCACUCUUCUUCCUUUGGUACUGAUAGUGUCAUUAUACCUGAGGGUCCAUUAAACUUCAAGGAUGUUGUUCCGUUAGGCAGAAAUGUUAUCUGUGCUUGUAACUUCGACAACAAAUCCCAUCCUAGAAGUUGGACUGGACAUUCAGGCAUGUAAAGGAACUGAUGUUUCACUACGUGGCCUCCUAGUGUACAGAGUCGACUUUUGAGAACCGGUUUAGCAGCACUCCUCCCAGUUGCUCCUAUUACAGUGAUAGUUCUUCCUGAAGGAGGAGCAACUAGGUCGGUUACCAGAGAAUGUUCAGCACCAGUGUCGAUCAUGAAAGAACUCCUUUUUCCCCCUAUUGCUACAUCGACCAUAGGCUCCACUCGACCAAGGGGAAUGGAGCCCGGUCGGUAUCAAUAGUCCUCCAUAACAGUGUCAGCCAAACCCACAAAGUCUCUAUCCUCUCUUUCUCUAGGUCUCUGCGUGGGUAGAUAAUAUCUGUCCCCUUGAACACUUCCUCUAUUAUUCCCACUAUUUCCUCCAAAACUUCCUCUACCUCGUCCUCUAUAACCACCUCACCCUCUUCUCUCUUCUUGUCUACCACCUGCAAUAUAUCCCCUCUGUGGACAGUCACUUUCCAAUGCCCUUCCUCUUUACAAUAUGCACUUUGAUUCCUACUUAAAGGUCCCUUAUUCAGCCUAUUCUCGACUCCUUUAUUCACUUCCCUUCCCUGUCUUUCUACACUUGUGAUAGCUACCGCUAGCAUAUCUACCUUUUUCCUCAUCUUACGUUCCUUCUCACGCUUUGUCUCAGUUCCCCUAUUCAUAUACACCUUAUUUGCAACCUCCAUUAGCUGUGAUAUGGAUAUCCCUGCAAAUCUCUCCAAUUUUUGUAACUUUCUCUUAAUACUGCUCUGGGCCAGGCUGACAAAUGCUGAAUUAAUAAUUUGGAAGUUUUCAGGGGCUUCAGUAUUGAAAGGAGUGUACAAUCUAUUUUACUCAAGCAGUCUCUCAUAAAAAGCACUGGGUGAUUCAUUAGCUUUUUGUAACACUUCAGCCGUCCUGGACAUGUUAAUUGCCUUUUUCCCUCCUGCCUUCAUGCCAGCAGUAAUGGCUUGUUGAUAGGCCUUUAAAUGGAUCAUGUCAGCGCCAUUUACGUUUCAAAGGUCAGUAAUAAUUGCUGACAAUCAGCCCAGGUGAGAUUGUGGGUUUGUAUAAUAGAGGUAACCAAAUCUGUCAUGACUUGAGGCUUAUCAGUGUAUGAAGAAUUACGUGUCUUCCAAUUAAAUAAGUUAGUCGUAGUGAAAGGAACAUAAACAAAUACAGGGUCUGCAUGUUGCAACUGACCAUUAUUGUCAACGUGUGUUGGGCCCAGUGUAAGUUGGAGAGGCAUUUGGUAAUGUCGGGGUUGGAGGGUACCAGUCAUCUGUCGGGUUAAUACAGGGCUUCGGCAAGGCUGCUCAGUCUGAGAGUAGUAAGAUAGGUGGAAGGGGGUGAGCUAAUUUUACUAGUCAGCAUUUGGUGGAUGAAACAUUUUUUUUUUUUUUUUAAAGUGUUAAACCAAAAACCUACCAGUAGGUGUCACCAGAGGGUAAUUGUAUCAAAAUAAUCUUUAUGGGUCUAAUAAUAAAACUUAACUUUUAAUAUAUUUAUACAUAAAACAAAACCUUAUAGUAGUUUUAGUGCUAUUUCAAUGUUUAUGGUACAAUGUCAUUGCUGAGAAUUAUCUGAUCCAAUAGACUCAGUUACUGUUAUUAAGAAUUCUCCUCACAAUUUAACUGUAAAUAAAAUGCAAUGCUAAAAUACACUCCUACCAAAAAGGAAGUCAAUUUAAAUUACAAAAAAAACAGUUUGUACAGAAAUACAAGAGUUUGAAAGAAAAGAACAGAUAGGUAUGUGGGUAGGCGUGGACAAUAGAGCAGGGGGAUUGCAAAUACCAGCUAUACUAGUUUUGGGCUACUCUGGCUAUGGAGGAUGAAUUAGGGGUUGGUAAUCAGAUGCAAGAGGGGGGGAGGUGUCCAAAGCAGUUGUAAUUAAGGUUUUAGAGGACAAACAAGUUCUGACUACCAUGGACUCCAUUGUUCCUCUUAGCACAGUUUGUUCCAUUUAGCAGUGUUUCAACAAUCUGUAUACAGAAACUACUCGUAUAGCCCCAACAUAUUAUUAAUAACACUGUAAACCUGCUAUAUUAAAUCUGGAUCAAGGAUCCACAGGAACACUGGUUACCAGAAGAGGCCGUCCUCUGCUACACAGAGUAUUUUAAUCUUUUGGGGGACAGUGUUACACCAUAAUCACAAACACCAUAUUCCUUAGAAAGGGUUUUUUGUUUUUUUUUGACACAUACAAGACAAAGGACUGUUUGUGAAUCAGAAGCACCCAUGAUUUCAACAGAGCGUCUGAUUCAAAGCAGUACAAAUAUACAAACAGUUUCAACAGUCACACCAGUUACCUUGGCAACAGCACCACGUGGCACAGUUACUAGGCCAAACACACACCAAAAACACGAGGAGAAUUCUCAUACACACACAGCUGUUACACCACACACUAAAUAACUAUUACUGUACCUUUUUUGGCGAAAUUAUACAAUUAUCCACGCUAUAAUUCUCAGUAUUUAAAUUACCCGUCUAUAACACACCCUAGUAACAUCGUCUUUACAAACAGUAGUUAUAGUACAGUUAGCAUUGGUUAGAAUACAAUUUUAAAGUCACAGGUCAGUUAAUAGUAGUUAUGGUGUUAAACAUACAACAUAAAUGACAGUUAUUAGUGAUUAUUUACAGUAUCAGUGAUUAUAAUAUAUGGUUAUUGUGACGAGACCAAUCUCGCCACAUUGCAUUGGAGAAGCCUGGUUACUCGCCUGCUGCCUUUGGACUAUGGCCCCCUGUUAAAAGACAUCUUUUCUACCUGCAGAAAAGUUUAAUUCGUGCUUUUCUGCCUGGGGUUCGGUAGAUUUGUUUUAAUGUGUUAUACCCCAGAUAGGAAUCCCAUGGAGCCCAUUUGUAUGAAACUGACUGUAAAGACUUUGGCUCCAUGCGAUUAAACUGUAUUCGUGUGGUCUGAGCGCCAUUCACUUAAUAAUGUGCGCUCAGACCUGAGCUAUCUGGGGAUAUGUGAAAUGUCUGUGUUUUAUGUAUAAAAUGUGACUUUAUGUAUUUUAAAGUGUUUUGUGUCUUUUUGCAACCAUGUGCUUAAUGGAGUCUUGUGUCUGUCCUGGGAGAUAAUUGAAUUACUUAUCUCCAGGAUAGAAGACUCUGAAACUGGUUUGGGCCAGAAAGCCAUGCUUCAUUUAGUCACAAAGGACUUUUUACUAACUUUUGAACCCCUUGUCUGAUUUGUGCCAUUUUUGAAUAUGUUGUUCCCCUGAAUGGAUUGAUUGAGAAUAUGUAAUUUUAUGUGAAUGUGAUGUAUGGUUUUGGAGUUAUGAAAGUUGGGUAGAAAGUAUGUUUUAACUGUAUGUAUAAUUGAGUUUCCUCUCAGGAUAAGGGGAGGGAAUAUGUGGGAUGUAACUGUGAUGUGAUUGGUUGUUUUAUACCUCCCUGUGGGCGGUCCUGUAUUUGCAAGACUGUAAUAAAAACCAGGCUGGGUGUGCCAGCACCUCAGACCACUGCUUGACCCUCAACACGGAGCCUUGUCUCGUUCUUGGGGGGAUUCACUGUAUGCUGUUAGAGACUGAUUGCCAGGAGUGUAAGCUGUUGUCUGCUUUUCCUGUUCGUCUGCUAGCAGCUAUUUGGGAGGUUCCAGUUCGGGAGUUGGAGUGCUAUUUUGUAUCCAGUUCGGGGGUUUGGUGUUCUGCAGUAGCUGUGCCUGUAUCUCUGGAAAGGGGGCCGAUCGCCUAAACGGUUUUUACUCCUUGUGUGCAAAACGGUCCGUUACAGUUAUGGUACCGUGCGCUAUGAUACAGUUACACACUAUUCACACUCUCACUAGACGGCAGAGCUCACGCUACUGUCGGGAUCCCGCGGGCGGCUGCGAAGGGAGGCUGCACUCCGCUCGCAGUACUCACCCUCCAGCCAUCCGCGGUCCCCUCCUCCUCGUGGGCUCGGCCACCGGCAUCCUUCCAGUCUCGGAUGCCGCCCGCCGUUUCCUCCACGUCCCCCAGCGGCAGCAUACAUGACGCUGCACGCCGGGAGACCGCUCAAGUUAUUACACGCCGGGGUCAGUCACCUGACCCGGCGUUAAAGGCACAGUGUCUCAAUCACAGUGGGAGGUUUAGAUAUCUCCCACGUGUGAUUGUUAAUUCUGAUUGGAAAUUAUCCAAUCAGAAUUAACCUUUUGAUUUAAAUACUUACCUUUCCUGUUCCUCCCUGCCCUGUUGUGGUCUUUGCUUUCUAGUAUUGCUACUUACCUUGUACUUCUGGUUACGUACUCUCUGGCUUGUUUAUCCGACUCUGUGACUUUCUCCUACCCUUUGACCUCGGCUCGUUUUAACGUUAUUCUGUCUUCUGGUUCCCCUUACACGGCUUGUCUCCUGACUAUUCUGUGUGUGCUUAGCCCGGCCACUCUAAGGUCCGGUACGGCACCUUUUCUGUGUGUGUGUGUGUGUGUGUGUGUACCGGCGUGUUGGGUUCCCCGAAUCUUGACAUUACAACACGGCCAUAAUGGAACCUGCUGACAUACCACAGCUCCUAGUUAAUCAAGAGGCUAGAAUGGAUGGCUUGGACCACCGUAUGGAUCAGUUUGCUCAAGCUUUGCAAACCAUACUGGCUCGUACUGCACACUUGCAACCUGCCGUUCAGGAGGCUGCUGCUGCUGUGCCCGAACCCAUUCCCACUCCAGUACCCGUUCCCGCUCAUGUAGUUCACAUGACGCCGCCACAGCGCUACAGCGGCGACCCAGCAUUGUGUCGUGGUUUCCUCAACCAAAUCAACAUCCAUUUGGUCAUGAAUCCACGUUCCUAUCCCACUGACAGAUCUAAAAUUGCCUUUUUGACAAACCACUUGUCCGGGAGAGCUUUAGCAUGGGCCAACCCCAUUUGGGAAAAUACGUCUCCUAUGUCCUUUGCAGAUUUUCUGACAGCUUUCAGACGCACGUUUGAUCAACCCGGUAGGGUUGCUUCUGCUGGCAAGGCUCUGCUUAGGGUCCGACAGGGUAACAGAUCUGUAGCGGAUUACACUAUCAAAUUCCGCACUCUAUCAGCUGAAGUGGUUUGGAAUAAUGACGCCCUCGUAACAGCCUUUCAGGAGGGUUUGGCCGCUUAUAUACUGGAUGAAAUAGCAUCCAGGGAAUUGCCUGCUCUUCUAGAUGAUGUUAUAGACUAUGUGAUUCUUAUCGAUAACCGUAUUAGAGAGAGGCGUAGUCAAAGACGGUUGGAUACACGGGUGUUACCUGCUCUACCCAGUACUGAACUGCUAGCGUUACCCGCUCCUAGGCAACCAUCCCCUGAACCCAUGCAGUUGGGUGCUACGGGGUUAACUGAGGCCAAAAGAGCGUACCGUAGAAGGGAGGGGUUAUGCCUUUAUUGUGGGAAGAAGGGGCACCACUGUAAAGCCUGCCCUAAAGUACAGGUAAACUCCAGCACCUAAGGCCUAGAGAGGGGUCGGCCUCCGGUGUUAUGACUUUGUCCCCUCAUGUGUCCAUCUCCAGACCGUUUAUUACGGUUUCUCUUUUGGUCAAUAAAACCACUUUAACAACCAAAGCCCUGAUCGAUUCGGGUGCGGCAGACAACCUUAUGGAUGAGACCUUUGCCAAAACCGCAGCCCUGAAUUUGAUCCGAAAGGAUACACCCUUGGCCGUUGAGACCAUAGAUGGUAGACCACUGGAGAAACCUCAGGUAACCCAUGAAACCCAGGAAAUAGUUAUGUCUGUGGGUGUUUUGCACAAGGAGAAGUUAACCUUCCAAAUAAUUGACUCCCCUACAGCCUCCAUCGUUCUGGGUUUUCCCUGGUUAGUUAAACACAACCCUGUUCUUGAUUGGGGUUGUUUAGAUAUACUCUCCUGGGGGGAAUCUUGUCAACGAGACUGUAUGGCUCAUGUACGUCCUGUUUGUUUACUUAACAUGCCCACGGCUAAACCACUCUCGGUUUCUGUCCUUUCUGUUUAUGCAGACCUUGCCUUGGUUUUUGAAAAGAGGGAGGCAGAUAAGCUACCUCCACAUCGUGAGUAUGAUUUGUGCCAUAAACCUCUUACCAGUUACUAUGCCUCCUAGGGGAAAGGUCUACCCUCUUUCUGAAAAAGAAAACCAGAUCAUGGAGGAGUACAUACAGGAAUCCCUAAGUAAAGGUUUUAUUAGAAGGUCCUCCUCUCCUGCUGGUGCUGGUUUCUUCUUUGUGGCAAAGAAGGAGGGCGAUUUGAGGCCAUGUAUAGACUACAGGGGUCUGAACAAUAUAACGGUUAAAAACGCCUACCCUAUCCCCCUCAUCACUGAGUUGUUUGAUCGUGUUAAAGGUUCUUAAUUCUUCACCAAAUUAGACCUCAGGGGGCUUAUAACCUGUCUGUAUAAAGGAGAAUGAUGAGUGGAAGACAGCGUUCAACACACGCAGUGGGCAUUACGAAUAUCUGGUCAUGUCUUUUGGACUGUGUAAUGCUCCUGCCGUGUUUCAGAACCUCAUAAAUGAUGUCCUUAGGGAUCUAUUGCAUGUCUGUGCUGUGGUGUACCUUGACGACAUACUUGGUAUUCUCCUGAUUUGAAGUCACACCAUAACCAUGUUAGGAUGGUGCUCAAAAGGCUAUUACAGAACGGACUCUACUGUAAGUUAGAAAAAUGUCUAUUCGAUCAGACCUCUGUGCAAUUCCUAGGAUAUAUCAUUACUGAACAGGGUUUCAGUAUGGAUCCUGCUAAAUUGGAAGCUAUACUGUCAUGGCCACUUCCCCAAGGACUGAAGGCUAUCCAGCGUUUUAUAGGGUUUGCCAACUAUUAUAGGAAAUUUAUAAAAAACUUUUCACCACUUAUAUCUCCUAUAACGAAGCUGACAAAAAAAGGUCUACACCCUAGGGUUUGGACUCUUGAAGCCCUUAAGGCCUUCGAAACCCUCAAGAAGGCAUUUGCCUCUGCUCCAGUGCUGCACCACCCUGAUCCUUCUCUUCCCUUUGUUAUGGAAGUAGACGCUUCAGAGUCGGGUGUGGGAGCAGUACUGUCACAGAGGUUGUCGUAUGACAAACCCCUCCAUCCCUGUUGUUAUUUUUCUAAAAGGUUGUCUGAUUCAGAAAAGAAUUACGAUGUUGGGAACAGGGAACUAUUAGCUAUUGUGUUAGCUUUUAAGGAAUGGAGAUACUUAUUAGAGGGUUCUAGACAUAAAAUUAUGGUUAUAACAGAUCAUAAGAACCUCUCCUAUAUAGCUGAUGCUAGAAGGUUAUCCGCCCGGCAGGCUAGAUGGUCUCUAUUUCUCUCACGCUUCCAAUAUGUUAUUACCUAUAGACCUGGUUGCCGUAAUGCCAAAGCUGACGCUAUCUCUCGACAACACGAACCAGUAGAAUUUGUUAACCCCACUCCUGAACCUAUUGUACCUGCGUCUCAGAUAAUAGCUGCUACCCGUUUGGUUGUUUCUUCACCUUUCCUUGAUAGUAUUAAGACAUACCAAACCCAAGCACCCCCUGAGACGCCGGUUGGUAAACUAUACGUUGAAGCAAAUGACAGAAAAAAGUUGUUAACUUUAUUUCACACCACCAAAACUGCUGGCCAUUCGGGGGUUACCAAAACCUACAAGGGCCUCCUUCAACAGUUCUGGUGGCCUUCACUCAAGCGAGACGCAGGGAAUUUUGUUCAGGCUUGUCGGGUCUACACGCAGUGUAAGUCCCUUAAUGUGAGACCCCAGGGUUUUCUGAUGCCUCUAUCUAUACCCAAGAAACCAUGGACCCACUUAUCCAUGGAUUUCAUUGUAGACCUUCCUCUUUCUGAUGGUCUGACGGUGAUACUGACUGUAACGGAUAGGUUCUCUAAAAUGGCGCACUUUAUUCCGCUUAAGAAACUGCCUUCUGCGGUUCAGUUAACUCAGGUGUUUGCCAAAGAAGUGUUCCGCUUGCAUGGGGUACCUCAGGAUAUCGUAUCUGACAGGGGUCCUCAAUUUGUCUCUCGGUUUUGGAGGGGCUUUUGUGCUGAGAUGGGGGUCUCCUUGUCGUUCUCUUCCUCCUAUCACCCGCAAUCUAAUGGUGCGGCCGAACGUGCUAAUCAGUCUGUGGAAUUGUAUUUACGCUGCUUCACUAAUGCGCACCAGGAUGACUGGUCUCGCCUUCUUCCGUGGGCUGAAUAUGCCAGGAAUACGGUGUCUCAUUCGUCUACUGGCUUAAGUCCUUUUGAGGUUGCUUAUGGGUUUCGACCUUCUGUCCUUCCCGGUGCGUUCUCUGACAAGGGAAUGCCCGCCUUGGACCAGCACCUCGCCUCUUUGCGGAAGACGUGGGAUCAGGUCCAUGUUGCGCUGUCUCGUUCAGCAGCUGCUCAGAAAAAGUUUGCUGAUCGCCGUAGGGUUGCGGCCCCUUCUUAUGUUCCGGGUGAUAGGGUAUGGUUGUCCUCCAGGAAACUCCGUCUCAAGGUCCCCUCGAUGAAAUUUGCCCCCAGGUUUCUUGGUCCCUACAGGGUCUUACGUAGGGUUAACCCCAUUUCCUACUCCCUUGACCUGCCUCCUUCCAUGCGUAUCCCAAACACGUUUCACGUCUCGCUUUUAAAGCCCAUGCUGUGUAACCGGUUCUCUCGUCCCCUCGGGCGGCCCGUUUCCCCUCGCGCUGUCUCUGGCGACGUGUACGAGGUGGCUGCCCUUCUCGACUCUCGUGUUUCUAGGGGUCGGCUGCAAUAUUUGGUGGAUUGGAAGGGGUACGGCCCUGAGGAGCGGUCUUGGGUUUCGAGCUCUGAUGUGCACGCUCCCUCUUUGGUCCUCUCCUUUCAUGCCCUGUUUCCUUUGAAGCCUUCUGCUUCCCGCCUUCCGGGCGGUCUUCGAGGGGGGGGUAAUGUCGGGAUCCUGCGGGCGGCUGCGAGGGGAGGCUGCACUCCGCUUGCAGUACUCACCCUCCAGCCGUCCGCGGUCCCCUCCUCCUCGUGGGCUCGGCGACCGGCAUCCUUCCAGUCUCGGAUGCCGCCCGCCGUUUCCUCCACGUCCCCCAGCGGCAGCAUACAUGACGCUGCAUGCUGGGAGACCGCUCAAGUUAUUACACGCCGGGGUCAGUCACCUGACCCGGCGUUAAAGGCACAGUGUCUCAAUCACAGUGGGAGGUUUAGAUAUCUCCCACGUGUGAUUGUUAAUUCUGAUUGGAAAUUAUCCAAUCAGAAUUAACCUUUUGGUUUAAAUACUUACCUUUCCUGUUCCUCCCUGCCCUGUUGUGGUCUUUGCUUUCUAGUAUUGCUACUUACCUUGUACUUCUGGUUACGUACUCUCUGGCUUGUUUAUCCGACUCUGUGACUUUCUCCUACCCUUUGACCUCGGCUCGUUUUAACGUUAUUCUGUCUUCUGGUUCCCCUUACCCGGCUUGUCUCCUGACUAUUCUGUGUGUGCUUAGCCCGGCUACUCUAAGGUCCGGUACGGCACCUUUUCUGUGUGUGUGUGUGUGCCGGCGUGUUGGGUUCCCCGAAUCGUGACAGCUACCCAGCAAGAUAUACACUCUUCUAUAAUAAAUUUUAACACAUUUACAGUUUCCCAACUAAUCUAUUCUACAGUACCUCGAGGGACUACCUAAAACUAUUUACAUCCGUUUUGGUUAGCCGUCGCUGCCCAAGCACCACAUAUAGCGAACUAGAGGGCGGAAUUUACAACAAUACCCUUUUAGUCUAGUCUAUCUACUCUAUCAAUAGUCUAGUAGGUUCCAAAUUUACACGCCUUCCCACUUAGCCAAGAUAGGUUGAGAACUAGCAAACGAUAAUGUACACCAGAGUCUGCUUAGUCUCCCGGUCCCUCUGACCUAGCGAACGAAAUGUACACCCUAGAUACGCUAGUCUAGACAAGAUACCGGUGUCCGGCUUGGGCUAUAUACAUUCAACCAAGACCCAGUCUGACUCCAUACCAAGAUUAUACGGGCUGACUACAGGGCGUCUAAUUAUGAGCGGUGCGCCUUCGCUCCUUCCCUCCACUGGAGGGGGCCAAUUCCAUACACAAUUCCAAUUCAAACCCCUUAUGGGCCUACCGCACAAUCGGUAUCCAAUACCCCUAGUGGGUCCACCGUCUAAAACAGUAGUCGUCUUACCUCCUCGUUCCUGAACCUGAGUUCACACUCAUCGACGGGGACACCCCAGCACUUACUACGUAGAGGCCGAUGAUCUCCUGGACAACAGACCAGUGGCGCCGAGACGAAGGGAGGUCCACGCAGAAGUUCAGGGGUGCAGCCGUAGAGAACGUGGGCAAAGAUAGACCGUCUCACGCCUCUGCUUCCUAGCCACCGUUAACGACGAGCUUCCCGGCCAAUGCACCAAAGAUGUUACCGGGAAACUGACGGAGGCCAAGCACAGAGAGAUGGACACAGGUUUCUUCAGGAAGGAAGAGAUCUUUAUUCGAUUCACCGACCGGGACUCAGAGGGACUUAUGUCACCAAAAACAGCAAAGAUC
Molecule: non-coding RNA, 15477 nt
Organism: Pelobates cultripes (western spadefoot toad)
Lineage: Eukaryota; Metazoa; Chordata; Amphibia; Anura; Pelobatidae
Source: the annotation of a GenBank genome assembly